Molecule: unclassified non-coding RNA, 521 nt
Filed under: uncultured Bartonella sp.
Lineage: Bacteria; Pseudomonadati; Pseudomonadota; Alphaproteobacteria; Hyphomicrobiales; Bartonellaceae
Description: partial 16S-23S ribosomal RNA intergenic spacer
Rfam family: tRNA (bases 112-185)
Source: RNAcentral
AGCUUUAAGGAAAGCUCUUUGUUUUUUGAAAUGAUGCUUUUAUGAGAUAGAGCUUUUUUAGAUAAUGCUUUUUUAGAUAAUGCUGGGGAAGGUUUUCCGGUUUAUCUCGGAGGGCUUGUAGCUCAGUUGGUUAGAGCGCGCGCUUGAUAAGCGUGAGGUCGGAGGUUCAAGUCCUCCCAGGCCCACCAAUUUACCUAUCCAUUUGCCUUUAUCCGUUUAUUUGCCGAUUUAUCGGUCUAUUGAAUUUAAGUGUUGGUAGCAGUUUUUAUAAUGAUGAGAAAUCAUGCUUAUAAAAGAACUCCUUAUAAAAGGCUUGUUUUUAAAAUGUGACGCUUAUCCAUUUCGCUUAGGCAAGAGAAACUUCAAGCGGUUCAAAUGCAAAAGGCUUUAAAUUUUGCAAAACACUUUGAAUUUUAAAGUGAUCCAAGUUCGUGAUCUCGAAUUUAAAAGUUUCGAAUGCUUUAUCCUUUUUUGGGGGCCGUAGCUCAGCUGGGAGAGCACCUGCUUUGCAAGCAGGGGGU